AUCCAGUCGAAGAGUCCUAAAAGGGUUGAAACGCGCGUCCUGGAU
RNAcentral lists this non-coding RNA (45 nucleotides) under Schistosoma margrebowiei. Lineage: Eukaryota; Metazoa; Platyhelminthes; Trematoda; Strigeidida; Schistosomatidae. The record is from RNAcentral.